AUCUUAGGCAGGGGCCAAGGAAGAAAAACUGCUAAAUAAUUCGAGGGGAAGACAGGGGUGGGGGUGAAGAGAAUCUUUCUUGUUGCCCUUGAAAGCCCAGGAGUAGAUUCGGGCUUUCUUUUUCUUUCCAACACUGCCCAAGAAGUUCUGAGCCUUGGAGCUGCUCUUGGAUCCCUUUGCUCUGUAUCUUCCCCUCCAGCUACAUUUCCCAUGUUUGGCCCAGUAAUCCAAUAAGCAAUUCCAAAUUUACGUCUGUUAGUCUGGCCUGGUGCCUGUCAUCUUCCAAGGAAGCACAAUCCUGUACUAUGUGCUCUCUCUCUCUGAGGAAGACAGAUGGAUCAGCAAAUCGUGGACUGGAGACAGGAACUCAGGCCCCACCUCUGGCUUGUCAAUUCUGAGCCCCUCAGAACCUCUGUUGAACAUUGCUGCCAUGGCAACUGUUGGGGGAAAACACCUGGCCGAGAGGGAGCCUGCCAAAGCCCACUGUAGCAACAGCAAGGGAUGAAGAGGGUAUUUCCGGGACAGUUGAAGGGCCCAGAUCUGAGCCAGCCUGAACAGUCUGGAAGUGUUUGACCCAGAUUGUUUAAACCAGAGAGGCUGAAAACAUAAUUUAAAAAAAUCAGUAUAAUUGCUUUAGUAAGUGCUAAAGCGAAGGACUCUCCAUGUUUUAACACUGAAGGAUCAAAACCGGUUUGUGAUUCUGCACAACCACCUUAUGGAAAUAGCAACUGAGAAAGACUUCCACCGGGCUGCUGGCUCCAACCAACAUCAUGGCUAAUUGCCCAAUUCCUUCUAAGUGGAGAUGGUGCUGAAGAAAACACUGCCCAGAAAGAUCCUCAAGGGGAGGUGGAGGGGACGCGUCAACACAGGAGGCCAGCCACAUUCUGAGAAGAGCGGAAACGAGCAUUGUAGAACUCCCUAAUGGCCCACUACAGAAAAAAGGGAUUUGCUUUUCCAAUGCCACAGAAUCGCAUCCGGAAAACACUAAUUUUUUAAUUCGGAUUUAUUUAUGAUCGCAAAGGAAAGGCAUGUUGAUUUCUCGUUCUCUGGUGAAGUGUUUCUGAUGGUGGGCUUUUUUUUUUUUUUUUUUUUUUAAAGAUACUACAUCAUUUAUUAAACUUCUCACAGAAAAAUGAAUACUUUUUUUUUCAUGUUUAUUUGAAAAAGGCUGUUUUUCUCAAGAGGUUCUUACCAAACCCAAAUCCAAAUGCAGCCACAGGGGAAAACAAAGGCAUUUUGACAUCCAUCACUACGUGUUGA
Panthera uncia (snow leopard) is the source of this 1260-nucleotide long non-coding RNA. RefSeq lists it as uncharacterized. NCBI's taxonomy places the organism in Eukaryota, Metazoa, Chordata, Mammalia, Carnivora, Felidae. The transcript has 3 exons. The record is from RefSeq and is a predicted model, not a curated record.